RNAcentral lists this small RNA (219 nucleotides) under Streptomyces longwoodensis. Its description in RNAcentral is "c-di-AMP sequence". The stretch from base 79 to 219 matches the Rfam family "c-di-AMP riboswitch aptamer (ydaO/yuaA leader)". Rfam says of the family: This family represents a conserved RNA structure found upstream of the ydaO and yuaA genes in Bacillus subtilis and related genes in other bacteria. The ydaO/yuaA element is thought to act as a genetic "off" switch for the ydaO and yuaA genes in its native state. Lineage: Bacteria; Bacillati; Actinomycetota; Actinomycetes; Kitasatosporales; Streptomycetaceae. The record is from RNAcentral.
UCCGGGCGGACGCCGAGUCCUGCCGCCGCCCGGAUGACAGGUCGACAGGAGUGGAUCGGCAGGAGUGGAGGACCCAAGCACGACGGGUCGCCGGACCGAGGUCUCCGCACGGAGACGCCGGGCCGAGCAGCCCUUGGGGUGAAGCCGCGUCAGCGGCCGGGCAACUUCGCCAGCCCGAAUCCGACAGGUCAUCCUUCACAGGCGGCUGACGAAGGGUUG